AGUUUAUGGCACUAUUCUGGGCAUUGAACAAAACUCAGGGUAGUAUCAGCCAGCCUUCAAGGAUUACCAUAUAAAAGUUGGAGGGAGAAAAGUAGAAGUCUGUGUUUCAAAUACAUAGAUAUCUCUGGCACAAGGAAGUAUUGGAUAAAUCCCUGAAUUUGGUGUAAUGAAGGCUACAAAAGAACUUGAAAAUGGUUGUCAUUCUCAAAGUGAAAGAAUACAAGAUGCUGUAUGACUCCGUACCCACAUUAGGGGGCCGUCAAAAGUUCAGAGGAAGAACAGCUGGAGGAGAGCUGAAAUACAUGAACAGGGACCCGAGGAACAGGGGAAGCCAGACUCCAUGUUAAGAGGACACUCAAGCAGCCCACGGAAAGACUUAUCUGGAGAGGACUGUGGGCCGAUAGCCAACACCAACUUGUCAGGCAUGUGAUGAGCCAAUAUGGAAGUGGAUCUUCCAGACCCAGUGAAGCCUUCAGAUGCUUUCAGAAGCCUCCAGAUAACCUCAAGACACCCUGACUCAGAGCAUCCACUUACCUGCUUCUAAAUUCCUGACCCACUGGAAUUGUGAGAUAACAAAUGUUUUGGAACAUUGAGUUUUGGGGUAAUUUUUAAAGUAGCAAUAGAUUAAUAUAAUUUAUUAGGUCUCACCUAAGAAUGCAUAAAAAUCAAGAAGAGAUUGAUA
Long non-coding RNA from Hyaena hyaena (striped hyena), 682 nucleotides. RefSeq lists it as uncharacterized. The transcript is spliced from 3 exons. Lineage: Eukaryota; Metazoa; Chordata; Mammalia; Carnivora; Hyaenidae. The record is from RefSeq and is a predicted model, not a curated record.